UAACUAAGGAAGGCUGUUGAUUCUGGUCA
RNAcentral lists this non-coding RNA (29 nucleotides) under Mus musculus (house mouse). The record is from RNAcentral. Lineage: Eukaryota; Metazoa; Chordata; Mammalia; Rodentia; Muridae.